UACAGAGGUCUCAAGCGUUUGUUCGGAUUCAUUGGCGUAAAGGGUGCGUAGGUGGCGCCGUAAGUCGGGUGUGAAAUCUCGGGGCUUAACUCCGAAAUUGCAUUCGAUACUGCGGCGCUUGAGGACUGGAGAGGAGACUGGAAUUCACGGUGUAGCAGUGAAAAUGCGUAGAUAUCGUGAGGAAGACCGGUGGCGAAGGCGGGUCUCUGGACAGUUCCUGACGCUGAGGCACGAAGGCCAGGGGAGCAAACGGG
RNAcentral lists this ribosomal RNA (254 nucleotides) under uncultured bacterium. RNAcentral describes it as "partial 16S ribosomal RNA". It matches the Rfam family "Bacterial small subunit ribosomal RNA", at positions 524 to 776 of the family's 1533-position model. The record is from RNAcentral.